UACGGAGGGGGCUAGCGUUGUUCGGAAUUACUGGGCGUAAAGCGCACGUAGGCGGCUUUGUAAGUUAGAGGUGAAAGCCCGGGGCUCAACUCCGGAACUGCCUUUAAGACUGCAUCGCUAGAAUUGUGGAGAGGUAAGUGGAAUUCCGAGUGUAGAGGUGAAAUUCGUAGAUAUUCGGAAGAACACCAGUGGCGAAGGCGACUUACUGGACACAUAUUGACGCUGAGGCGCGAAAGCGUGGGGAGCAAACAGG
RNAcentral lists this ribosomal RNA (253 nucleotides) under uncultured bacterium. Its description in RNAcentral is "partial 16S ribosomal RNA". It matches the Rfam family "Bacterial small subunit ribosomal RNA", at positions 524 to 776 of the family's 1533-position model. The record is from RNAcentral.